GAUGAACGCUGGCGGCGUGCCUAACACAUGCAAGUCGAACGGAGUCCAGCCUUUAAGACCUUCGGGUCAAAGAGGGGAAGACUGAGUGGCGGACGGGUGAGUAACACGUGGGCAACCUGGCUCAUAGAGGGGGAUAACAGAGAGAAAUUUCUGCUAAUACCGCAUAAGCACACACUGCCGCAUGGCAGAGGGUGAAAAGAGAAUCGCUAUGAGAUGGACCCGCGUCUGAUUAGCCAGUUGGCAGGGUAAGAGCCUACCAAAGCGACGAUCAGUAGCCGAUCUGAGAGGAUGAACGGCCACAUUGGGACUGAGACACGGCCCAAACUCCUACGGGAGGCAGCAGUGGGGGAUAUUGCACAAUGGGGGGAACCCUGAUGCAGCGGCGCCGCGUGAGUGAAGAAGUAUUUCGGUAUGUAAAGCUCUAUCAGCAGGGAAGAUAAUGACAGUACCUGAAGAAGAAGCCCCGGCUAACUACGUG
Molecule: ribosomal RNA, 478 nt
Filed under: uncultured bacterium
Lineage: Bacteria
Description: partial 16S ribosomal RNA
Rfam family: Bacterial small subunit ribosomal RNA
Source: RNAcentral